AAACACGCUGGCGGCGUGCCUAACACAUGCAAGUCGAACGAGAAAGUGGAGCAAUCCAUGAGUAAAGUGGCGACCGGGUGAGUAACACGUGACUAACCUGCCCUAGAGUGGGGGAUAACCUCGGGAAACCGGGGCUAAUACCGCAUAACAUCGCGAGGGGAAGAUCCUUGCGAUCAAAGGAGCAAUCCGCUCCAGGAGGGGGUCGCGGCUGAUUAGCUAGUUGGUGAGGUAACGGCUCACCAAGGCGAAGAUCAGUAGCCGGCCUGAGAGGGCGCACGGCCACACUGGAACUGAAACACGGUCCAGACUCCUACGGGAGGCAGCAGUGGGGAAUUUUGCGCAAUGGGGGAAACCCUGACGCAGCAACGCCGCGUGGAGGAUGAAGUCCCUUGGGAUGUAAACUCCUUUCGAUCGGGACGAUUAUGACGGUACCGGAAGAAGAAGCACCGGCUAACUCUGUGCCAGCAGCCGCGGUAAUAC
Molecule: ribosomal RNA, 480 nt
Filed under: uncultured bacterium
Lineage: Bacteria
Description: bacterial SSU rRNA
Rfam family: Bacterial small subunit ribosomal RNA
Source: RNAcentral